Budorcas taxicolor (takin) is the source of this 258-nucleotide long non-coding RNA. RefSeq lists it as uncharacterized. The record is from RefSeq and is a predicted model, not a curated record. Lineage: Eukaryota; Metazoa; Chordata; Mammalia; Artiodactyla; Bovidae. The transcript is spliced from 3 exons.
AGACUUCAGCUUUCCUGGAUCACUGGGCUGCCAGGGUGAUAUGCCACCAGUGUGGCCCAGCAAGAGCCCCCCAACCCUUCUCAUGAGGAACUGAAAGAUAGUUCCAGUGACAGAUGACAGCUUUAGAGGAGGGAUGUGCUUAUUGGUCCGCCCAGUCCCCACCUUGGCUAUCUUCAUGUUUAUUUUCUGCCUGACCUUGGAAACUUGAUUCAUGAAAUGCUUCCUCUUCAAAAAGAUUUAUGGGAAGAACAUUAGGAC